UACAGAGGUGGCAAGCGUUGUUCGGAAUUACUGGGCGUAAAGGGCUCGUAGGUGGCCAACUAAGUCAGACGUGAAAUCCCUCAGCUUAACUGGGGAACUGCGUCUGAUACUGGAUGGCUUGAGUUUGGGAGAGGGACGCGGAAUUCCAGGUGUAGCGGUGAAAUGCGUAGAUAUCUGGAGGAACACCGGUGGCGAAGGCGGCGUCCUGGACCAACACUGACACUGAUGAGCGAAAGCCAGGGGAGCAAACGGG
This 253-nucleotide ribosomal RNA is filed under the name uncultured bacterium. RNAcentral's name for it is "partial 16S ribosomal RNA". It matches the Rfam family "Bacterial small subunit ribosomal RNA", at positions 524 to 776 of the family's 1533-position model. The record is from RNAcentral.